This 194-nucleotide ribosomal RNA is filed under the name uncultured bacterium. RNAcentral describes it as "partial 16S ribosomal RNA". It matches the Rfam family "Bacterial small subunit ribosomal RNA", at positions 328 to 539 of the family's 1533-position model. The record is from RNAcentral.
ACGCUCGACACCUACGGGAGGCAGCAGUGGGGGAUAUUGCACAAUGGGGGAAACCCUGAUGCAGCGACGCCGCGUGAAGGAAGAAGGCCUUGGUUGUAACUUCUGUCGUACGGGACGAUAAUGACGGUACCGUACAAGAAGCCACGGCUAACUACGUGCAAGCAGCCGCGGUAAUCUGAGCGGGCUGGCAAGGC